UGUAUCUGAAGCCUGAAGAGGAUGAGAACCUCCGGGGGCAAGAGGUUCGACUCGAGCGAAGCGAGAGAACGUUGCGUCAGCAACGGCCCGCAGGGCGAGCCACGCAGUGGCGAGUCAUCCUCUCCUGGUGCCUG
This 134-nucleotide small RNA is filed under the name Salmonella enterica. Its description in RNAcentral is "RtT sRNA". It matches the Rfam family "RtT RNA". From Rfam's summary of the family: This family represents a bacterial cis-regulatory element known as RtT RNA. The exact function of RtT is unknown although it is thought that it may be involved in changing the cellular response in relation to amino acid starvation. RNAcentral also lists the same sequence under 2 other names. Lineage: Bacteria; Pseudomonadati; Pseudomonadota; Gammaproteobacteria; Enterobacterales; Enterobacteriaceae. The record is from RNAcentral.